This 299-nucleotide unclassified non-coding RNA is filed under the name plant metagenome. RNAcentral's name for it is "partial contains small subunit ribosomal RNA, internal transcribed spacer 1, and 5.8S ribosomal RNA". The record is from RNAcentral.
UUUCCGUAGGUGGACCUGCGGAAGGAUCAUUAUCGAAUUUCGAGGGGAAGGAAGAUGAGGAGUGGAGCCUGUCGCUGGCUUUCCCGCCUGGGAAGCAUGUGCACGCCUUGCUUUUCGUUGACCUUUCUCUUACUCUCACACCUGUGCACCCAUUGUAGGUCCUCGAAAGAGGAUCUAUGUUUUUAUCAUCACACGCAUCGUAUGUCCAUAGAAUGUAACAUGAUUGUCGAUCGACCUCGCGGUCGGGUGGCGGUCUAAAUAAAUAAAUACAACUUUCAGCAACGGAUCUCUUGGCUCUC